RNAcentral lists this ribosomal RNA (447 nucleotides) under uncultured bacterium. RNAcentral's name for it is "bacterial SSU rRNA". It matches the Rfam family "Bacterial small subunit ribosomal RNA", at positions 330 to 792 of the family's 1533-position model. The record is from RNAcentral.
GCCAGACUCCUACGGGAGGCAGCAGUGGGGAAUAUUGCGCAAUGGGGGAAACCCUGACGCAGCAACGCCGCGUGCAGGAAGAAGGUCUUCGGAUUGUAAACUGUUUUCGCAGGGGAAGAAGACAGUGACGGUACCCUGUGAGAAAGUCACGGCUAACUCCGUGCCAGCAGCCGCGGUAAUACGGAGGAUGCGAGCGUUAUCCGGAUUUAUUGGGUUUAAAGGGUGCGCAGGCGGCGAGUUAAGUCAGGGGUAAAAUUUGGGGGCACAACCCGGACAAGCCGUUGAAACUGGCUUGCUAGAGUGGGCGAGAAGUAUGCGGAAUGCGUGGUGUAGCGGUGAAAUGCAUAGAUAUCACGCAGAACUCCGAUUGCGAAGGCAGCAUACCGGCGCCCAACUGACGCUCAGGCACGAAAGCGUGGGUAUCGAACAGGAUUAGAUACCCCCGUA